RNAcentral lists this ribosomal RNA (380 nucleotides) under uncultured eukaryote. RNAcentral's name for it is "partial 18S ribosomal RNA". It matches the Rfam family "Eukaryotic small subunit ribosomal RNA", at positions 592 to 976 of the family's 1831-position model. The record is from RNAcentral.
CAAUAGCGUAUAUUAAAGCUGUUGCGGUUAAAAAGCUCGUAGUUGGAUUUCUGUCAAGUACAACUGGUCCGCCCUCCGGGUGAGCACAUAGUUUGGUCUUGGCAUCUUGCUGGAAAUUGUUGCUGCACUUGGCUGUGUGGCGCAGUGUCCAGCACUUUCACUUUGAGGAAAUUGGAGUGUUUCAAGCAGGCAAUGCCUUUGAACACAGUAGCAUGGAAUAAUUAGAUUGGGCUUUUGCUCCAAUUUGUCGGUUUCUGGAGCUGAGGUGAGAAUUAAUGGGGAUUGUUGGGGGCAUCCGAAUUUAACCGUCAGAGGUGAAAUUCUUGGAUCGGCUAAAGACGGACAACUGCGAAAGCGUUUGCCCAGGAUGUUUUCAUUGA